This is a long non-coding RNA of Megalobrama amblycephala (Wuchang bream), 1456 nucleotides long. RefSeq lists it as uncharacterized. The record is from RefSeq and is a predicted model, not a curated record. NCBI's taxonomy places the organism in Eukaryota, Metazoa, Chordata, Actinopteri, Cypriniformes, Xenocyprididae. The transcript has 3 exons.
CAAAGGACAAAAAUGUCGUCUAAGACAGCAGAGAGUAGCUAGUCAAUCAAACGCACUCUGUAGAGCAGUUUGUUCGUUUAGGGCUGCUGUAGAAACAUGUCGGCGCAAAAUGGUGACUUAACAUGUAAGGGGACCCGCGGUGUAUGAAGAUAGAAAUGGCUCAUUCAGCAAUAGCUGAAUUCUGGCUUAAGGUUCUACUGCCACGCCGUCCUUGGCUGCCAGAUGAGCCCCUGUGACCUGAGUUUUUUGAGUCUUUGGAGGAGUUACGAAGAGCAGAGCGUGGAGGAUGAGCGUCUGAUGAGGAUGGAGGACCAGAGGAGAUGCUAAAUGCAGAGAAGAACGAAAGGCUUAUUUUUGAAGAGAAGGACACACAGCAUAAUCAAAUGCAUGUUAGCGGCAGAUCCAAGAGGACGGACUGUUCCUCUGAGCGCUGAAUUGGAUUACAGUGGAGGCCGACAGGCACACCAGACAGCCUAUAAAUUACAAUCAACAGUUUAAUAUGCCCAAGCAAAGCAGCAAACCUCUGUCUGUCCUCUGCCCAUCAAACAAGUCAUUAAAACUGAAAUUGUCAAUGGCUCCUUACAAGCAACAAGCAUAAAUUAUAAAAUGAGCAAAUCAUUCACACAAAAACAUUUAUUUCUUGGUGCCCUGGCAUUUUGAUCCUGUAUAAAUCAGUUGUCCUCUGUUCAAUGGUUGGAAAACCAAAAGAAAUCAAUAACACUUUAGAAUAAUGGUCCGCCAUUAUGUAACUAUGCAGGAAGUAAUGCAGGACAAAUGAGUAGUACUACAUUAACAGUUCAAACAUUUCUGAAUGAGAUUGGCAUCAUUAAAAACUAAUAACUAUGACAAAUUAUAAAAAAAUACUAAUUAAUGAUCACAACAUUAACAUGUCUGAGAUUGUCUUUUUUAAAUCUCAACAUCAUAAAAUGCAUCACUAAUUACUCAAGUGUUACCUAGUCACUCUUCAAGCACUACUAGAGAUCUCAUUAUUUUAAAGUGAAAAAAUGUUUUUCUCUUUAAAAUAAAGUUCCAGAUUGCUAAUAGUUCCUGCAGAGUGACUAAGUAACACUUGAGUAAUUAUGAUGCAUCUCAAACUAGAUCUCAAAAAUAUCUCAAGACAGUGUUAUCCACAUAUAUAGAGUAGAAUAGUUGUGUUCCAGAAAUCCCUUUCUUUUUUUCCAUAGGGGAAUUGAAUUUUAAAGAUGGAUAGACCUACUGUGAGCUACAAGGUUGAUGGUAUUUGCUUUUGUUGAAGCCAUCUUGUAAUACUGAUGUUGAGAAUGACGAAUGCGAAUGACAUAAUCAAGUCCGUUUCCCUAUAUGCUUUCAAACUAAAUAUUUGUAUAUAGGCCUAUGUACAUGCAUAUUUUGCAAUAAACAUAAAAUAUGUUGCUUGUAUACAUAUUCAUUUAAAGAUGUUGAUUAUAUAUAUAUUUUUUUAUUUCUCCAUUUUCAA